GGUCGGGUAGAGAAUACCAAGGCGCUUGAGAGAACUCGGGUGAAGGAACUAGGCAAAAUGGCACCGUAACUUCGGGAGAAGGUGCGCCGGCUAGGGUGAAGGAUUUACUCCAUAAGCUCUGGCUGGUCGAAGAUACCAGGCCGCUGCGACUGUUUAUUAAAAACACAGCACUCUGCAAACACGAAAGUGGACGUAUAGGGUGUGACGCCUGCCCGGUGCCGGA
This 223-nucleotide ribosomal RNA is filed under the name Pseudomonas aeruginosa. RNAcentral describes it as "partial 23S ribosomal RNA". It matches the Rfam family "Bacterial large subunit ribosomal RNA", at positions 1665 to 1873 of the family's 2925-position model. The record is from RNAcentral. Lineage: Bacteria; Pseudomonadati; Pseudomonadota; Gammaproteobacteria; Pseudomonadales; Pseudomonadaceae.